GCCUUCGUGGUGUAAUGGUCUGCAUGUUCGACGCGUAACCGAGAGGUCCGUGGUUCGAUUCCCGGUGAAGGCG
Non-coding RNA from Stegodyphus mimosarum, 73 nucleotides. Lineage: Eukaryota; Metazoa; Arthropoda; Arachnida; Araneae; Eresidae. The record is from Rfam.